This is a long non-coding RNA of Homo sapiens (human), 2690 nucleotides long. Ensembl annotates it as progenitor renewal associated non-coding RNA. Its record names the gene PRANCR. The record is from Ensembl. NCBI's taxonomy places the organism in Eukaryota, Metazoa, Chordata, Mammalia, Primates, Hominidae.
GACGACUGCAAAACGGCAGCGAUGGGGUGGGUAGGCAGGCCGCUUUCAGCGCGCUUCUAACAAGGUGGAGAGAGGCGCUUCACUUCCCUACCGCCCUUACCGCCGCUCCGUCUUGUCUCCCACCGACUCACAGGGAGGCUUGCUGCUCCUCCGCGGCCGUUACAGAGAGCGGGGCUUCUGCGGCCGCUACCGUUUCCCUGGGGCUAGGUUGCUUCGCAGAAGGCUCUGGCCCUGAGUCCGAGGGGGACUGCGGGGUCCAGGGGCGAUGAAUGCUCCCGCAACCUCCGGAGCUUGUGCGCGUACUUCAGGGACCGGCACCACGUCACCGUCACCUCCUGAGUAGUGAGUUCCCCUCUGAUGAAACCACUGGUAACUGCCUCUCCACGGAGGAAAAAGGUCUUCACCCGGAACUCUUGGCGAUGAACUGACCAAGUAAGGGAUGAGGAGGAGGAGCUUCUCAAGAGUUCCUAGAGAAAGACGAUGCCUGGGGAAGAUAAUGGCCAGUAGAGUUGGUGCCAGGGACUCUAGAAGGAAGAGGCUGGAGACAUCCAAGAGAAAUAUGAUCAGGAACUGGACUGAGACAGUGCUUGGAAGAUGAGUGGGGAGACAGAAAGGAAAAGGCAAGCUCUGGAAGCUGACAAAGUAUGGAAGGAAGGGCAAUGGCCUGUGGAAAAUAACUGAGACUUGCUGCCUGUGAGGCCAAUGACAUGCUGUCUUUGCCCACUGCUCCUGUCAGGUAAAUCCAUUCUCUCAGGGAGGAACUGCUUUACAAUUUCAGCAGAGAUGCCCAGCAGCUCAGUCAUCAUUUUUAAGCAGUGUGUUCAUCUCACACCAGUGGGUGACAUGUAAAGAUGUGCGGUUCAAGGUGUGUCAGAGGCCAGGAGCACCCAGCAAACCUGACUGGGGUGUCAGAGGAGGGGCCCAGGGCCUGAAUCUGUGCUCACCUCCUGGAUAUUCUGCUUUGCCCGGCUGUCAGAGGGAUGCAUGAUGGUCCCCAUCACUUUCAUGUUGCCACAGACAACCAGGGCUUCGUCCGGCGCAUCUGUGUUGAUUCCUACUCGACCGUGACAGACAAUAGAUUCUGGAACUUGUCCUCGCUGCCACAAUGCAUCACUGUCAUUUUCAAACUGCCCAGGGUUAGAGGCCUGGAAAAAUACAUAAAUAUAUUACAAUUAAAGUAACAGUAGCAGGAAUAGAUGAUCACAUUAGUGUUCAGAGCAAAGGCAAACUGAAUAUUAUCUAAGUCUUUCAUAAGAGAAUCCUGUAUUGAGUGGGACAUUCUGACAUAUCCAAGUAAUUCCGGGGCCCAGGAGAGCCAGGGAGGCUUCCCUAACCACUCUGCCUCCCCGCUAGCAGGAGCUCUGUAUACCCUGAUUUGAAACAUCCAAUCUCUAUUGCAUCUAUCUGGAAUUAAGAAUGUGAUCAGUUAUACUAGGUGGAUGAUAAAGAAGAAAACUAAAAAUGGCUAUCUUUCCAGGAAUAGUCAUCAUCAUCAUGAUUUAAAAUCAGAACAUUAUAUCAGAAAAUAUUACAGGUGUACUAAAGUCAGAUAAAUAAAAAUACCUUGCAUUUAGCUAGCCCUAUUAUAGUUUCAAAAUGCUUUUAUAUUUAUGAUUUCAUACACAAGUGACAAGCAAAUGAUAAUACAAAUAUAUUUAAUAUACAUCAACUAUUCCCUAAACACAGAGGAUACUGAAGGAAGAAUAAUAACAGCUACAUUUGUUGUGCGAUAAUUCACAGUGCAAUUAUAUGAGACACGUACUAUUGUCCUCAUUUUAUUGACACUGACACUCUGAAAAGAUAAAUAAAUUGCCCAAAGCCACAAAGCUAAUAAGUUCUGGAGCUGGAACUACAAGUCCUCUGAUUAUUAAAUAAUGAUUUGCCUGUUUCACGGCAUUGCUUAGAAGUAGUCCUGGCAAUCUUCAAAGAAAAUCCAAGUGAAACCAUUGGACUAGACAAAGUUCUGGAGAUUUUACUCUUAAAUAAAAUUCUUUGUCAAAGAAUGUUCCACUGCACUGCCUUCCUUCCUGCUUCCCUGUAGCCACUGAAUAUAUUCCCAAAUAUUUUAAAGUAAGCAUCUCUAAAUCCCUCAAAAUCCUCACAACAAAAUUAAUUUGUUUUUAAAAUUAUGAUGUAUUUUUAUGAUUGAGGCAGGCUGUCACAACUUUAGAUAAACAGUUGUGAUCCUGAUUAUCUAAAAAGUCAGUACUAAUACUUGACUUUUUACCUUUCUGGUGGUAUAUGAUACAUUGCAGGCUCAGCACCUGAAUAUGCAUAGAUUUUCUCUGAAGACUACUCAGGAAACCAAUAACAAUGGUUUCCUCAAGGAUGGAGCCUGGGAGAUGGAGAAACAGUGGUAGGAGGGAGAUUCACCUUUCACUAUAUACUCUCUUGGUAUUGUUUGAGUGUUUUUGUCAUAUGCAUUUGUUACAAUUUUAAAAAUAAUUAAAAGAAACCACAAAGUUUAUUUCUUAGUUUGGGUUUAAAGAACUUUUUGAUGUCUUCAAUUUCCUAAUUCAAUCCCAAGUGUCUGAACCCUGAGCUGCUUGGAAGACUCAACCAUUGAUACUUGAUAAACAGAAGCAGUGAAAGAGGCCAGGUGUGUGGUGGCUCACACCUGUAAUCCCAGCACUUUGGGAGGCUGAGGUGUGUGGAUCACCUGAGGUCAGGAGUUCAAGACCAGCCUGGCC